GUUUCGAAUAAGACUAUUACUAUUCCUGCUGUGGAAGUAGAGCCGCCUGGAUACUCAUACAAUCCAUCAUCUGAAAGUCAUCAAGUUACAUGCUUAUAUAUUACUUAAUUAUAUAUUAUAUAUAUGGUUAUGUACUUAUAUUCAUUUAGUGGAUUCAUUGGCUCAAGCUGUUGCAGAUGAAAUGCAGAAAAUUUAUACGAAAGAAUUGCGUCCAAAACCUGUUCCUUUAAUUGUUGAAGGGGGAGUUAUUGAUGAGGAAGAUGUGGAACAGGACAUUCUAAAUCAGCGCUGAAGGUUUAAGAGGGAUUGGAAUCAAGCCAUGUGAAAAGCUAGAACUUUUUGCUGACAAUUCUUUUCGGUGGCUUAUUGAUGGAUUGCAUUUCGAUAGUAAUCGAUCCUUAAUAGUAAACUUAACAUCUGCAGUGCUUUUUUAUUAUAACUUAUCCAUAUCUAAUGCAUGAUUAUUUAUGUUU
Molecule: long non-coding RNA, 473 nt
Filed under: Helianthus annuus (common sunflower)
Lineage: Eukaryota; Viridiplantae; Streptophyta; Magnoliopsida; Asterales; Asteraceae
Description: hypothetical non coding rna
Source: RNAcentral